UGCAGGCGAUACGGGCAUAACUUGAGUGCUGUAGGGGAGACUGGAAUUCCUGGUGUAGCGGUGAAAUGCGCAGAUAUCAGGAGGAACACCGAUGGCGAAGGCAGGUCUCUGGGCAGUAACUGACGCUGAGGAGCGAAAGCAUGGGUAGCGAACAGGAUUAGAUACCCUGGUAGUCCAUGCCGUAAACGGUGGGCGCUAGGUGUGGGGGUCUUCCACGACUUCUGUGCCGUAGCUAACGCUUUAAGCGCCCCGCCUGGGGAGUACGGCCGCAAGGCUAAAACUCAAAGGAAUUGACGGGGGCCCGCACAAGCGGCGGAGCAUGUGGAUUAAUUCGAUGCAACGCGAAGAACCUUACCUGGGCUUGACAUAUGCAGGAUCGCGCCAGAGAUGGUGUUUCCCUUGUGGCUUGUAUACAGGUGGUGCAUGGUUGUCGUCAGCUCGUGUCGUGAGAUGUUGGGUUAAGUCCCGCAACGAGCGCAACCCUUGUCUUAUGUUGCCAGCACGUGAUGGUGGGGACUCAUGAGAGACUGCCGGGGUCAACUCGGAGGAAGGUGGGGAUGACGUCAAAUCAUCAUGCCCCUUAUGUCCAGGGCUUCACACAUGCUACAAUGGUCGGUACAGUGGGUUGCGAGACCGUGAGGUGGAGCGAAUCCCUUUGAAAGCCGGCCUCAGUUCGGAUUGGGGUCUGCAACUCGACCCCAUGAAGUCGGAGUCGCUAGUAAUCGCAGAUCAGCAAUGCUGCGGUGAAUACGUUCCCGGGCCUUGUACACACCGCCCGUCACGUC
RNAcentral lists this ribosomal RNA (785 nucleotides) under Corynebacterium canis. RNAcentral describes it as "bacterial SSU rRNA". It matches the Rfam family "Bacterial small subunit ribosomal RNA", at positions 622 to 1403 of the family's 1533-position model. Lineage: Bacteria; Bacillati; Actinomycetota; Actinomycetes; Mycobacteriales; Corynebacteriaceae. The record is from RNAcentral.